GACGAACGCUGGCGGCGUGCUUAACACAUGCAAGUCGAACGGAAAGGCCCUGCGGGGUUCUCGUGCGCCAGUCGCGAGCGUAUGAGGAACGUAAGAUUAACCUGCCCUUGACUUUGGGAUGGGAACAGGGAGCUAAUACUAGUACCGGCUAGGUGCUGCUGGUGGAUGGUGGGAGUGGGAAUUUUUCGUCGGUUGGGGAUGGGCUCGCGGCGUAUCAGCUUGUUGGUGGGGUAGUGGCCUACCAAGGCGAUGACGGGUAGCCGGCCUGAGAGGGUGACCGGCCACACUGGGACUGAGAUACGGCCCAGACUCCUACGGGAGGCAGCAGUGGGGAAUAUUGCACAAUGGGCGGAAGCCUGAUGCAGCAACGCCGUGUGAGGGAUGAAGGCCUUCGGGUUGUAAACCGCUUUCGGCAGGGACGAAGCGUGAGUGACGGUAAUGGGAGAAGAAGCGCCGGCCAACUACGUG
This 468-nucleotide ribosomal RNA is filed under the name uncultured bacterium. RNAcentral's name for it is "partial 16S ribosomal RNA". It matches the Rfam family "Bacterial small subunit ribosomal RNA", at positions 28 to 507 of the family's 1533-position model. The record is from RNAcentral.